Molecule: long non-coding RNA, 432 nt
Filed under: Ananas comosus (pineapple)
Lineage: Eukaryota; Viridiplantae; Streptophyta; Magnoliopsida; Poales; Bromeliaceae
Description: long non-coding RNA (ACOM_LNC043284)
Source: RNAcentral
CACGGUCCAGGUGAGCAACAGCAGCAGCCGCAGACGAAGGCUCUGUAAAAAGGUGUCAACAACUGGAUGUGAAAACUNAAGAAUCUAGCUCGCGACUCCCUUCCCGCGGUCGGAAUCAGUAACAGCAGCAGCCGCAGACGAAGGCUCUACAAAAAGGUGUCAACAACUGGAUGUGAAAACUACUAUAAAACAGAGUAGUUCUCAGUGUAUACCGCCACCGACCUCAACAGCCCACCCACUAAGUCUACAAAAAUAUGCACAAGAAUAGUAAAGAAAGCUGAAAAAACUCUACAGCUACAUGCCACUAUAUUAUCGCUAACCCACACAGGCUAUCUGUAGAUAAACAAAACAUGCUUCACACUGACCCAAUCUCACUAGGGCUGCCCAAACGAAUCCACCCUGUCUGUAACCAAGCUGUACCGUACACCACCA